GGAAGGUGGGGAUGACGUCAAGUCCUCAUGGCCCUUAUGGGUAGGGCUUCACACGUCAUACAAUGGUCGGUACAGAGGGUUGCCAAGCCGCGAGGUGGAGCCAAUCCCCUAAAGACCGAUCGUAGUCCGGAUCGUAGUCUGCAACUCGACUACGUGAAGUCGGAAUCGCUAGUAAUCGCAGAUCAGCAUGCUGCGGUGAAUACGUUCCCGGGUCUU
Molecule: ribosomal RNA, 216 nt
Filed under: uncultured Thauera sp.
Lineage: Bacteria; Pseudomonadati; Pseudomonadota; Betaproteobacteria; Rhodocyclales; Zoogloeaceae
Description: partial 16S ribosomal RNA
Rfam family: Bacterial small subunit ribosomal RNA
Source: RNAcentral